GCUUGAUAAGUCAGAUGUGAAAUCCCCGGGCUUAACCUGGGAACUGCAUCUGAUACUGUUAAGCUAGAGUAGGUGAGAGGGAAGUAGAAUUCCAGGUGUAGCGGUGAAAUGCGUAGAGAUCUGGAGGAAUACCGAUGGCGAAGGCAGCUUCCUGGCAUCAUACUGACACUGAGGCUCGAAAGCGUGGGUAGCAAACAGGAUUAGAUACCCUGGUAGUCCACGCCGUAAACGAUGUCUACUAGUCGUUGGGUCCCUUGAGGACUUAGUGACGCAGCUAACGCAAUAAGUAGACCGCCUGGGGAGUACGGCCGCAAGGUUAAAACUCAAAUGAAUUGACGGGGGCCCGCACAAGCGGUGGAGCAUGUGGUUUAAUUCGAUGCAACGCGAAGAACCUUACCUGGUCUUGACAUACACAGAAUCUCGUAGAGAUACGAGAGUGCCUUCGGGAAUUGUGAUACAGGUGCUGCAUGGCUGUCGUCAGCUCGUGUCGUGAGAUGUUGGGUUAAGUCCCGCAACGAGCGCAACCCUUGUCCUUAGUUACCAGCGGGUUAAGCCGGGAACUCUAAGGAUACUGCCAGUGACAAACUGGAGGAAGGCGGGGACGACGUCAAGUCAUCAUGGCCCUUACGACCAGGGCUACACACGUGCUACAAUGGUAGGUACAGAGGGCAGCUACACAGCGAUGUGAUGCGAAUCUCAAAAAGCCUAUCGUAGUCCAGAUUGGAGUCUGCAACUCGACUCCAUGAAGUAGGAAUCGCUAGUAAUCGCGGAUCAGAAUGCCGCGGUGAAUACGUUCCCGGGCCUUGUCCACACCGCCCGUCACACCAUGGGAGUUGAUUGCACCCAGAAGUGGUUAGCCGAA
RNAcentral lists this ribosomal RNA (862 nucleotides) under uncultured bacterium. RNAcentral's name for it is "bacterial SSU rRNA". It matches the Rfam family "Bacterial small subunit ribosomal RNA", at positions 578 to 1438 of the family's 1533-position model. The record is from RNAcentral.